RNAcentral lists this ribosomal RNA (250 nucleotides) under uncultured bacterium. Its description in RNAcentral is "partial 16S ribosomal RNA". It matches the Rfam family "Bacterial small subunit ribosomal RNA", at positions 524 to 772 of the family's 1533-position model. The record is from RNAcentral.
GACGAACCGUGCGAACGUUAUUCGGAAUCAUUGGGCUUAAAGGGCGCGUAGGCGGCGGCGUAAGUUGGAAGUGAAAUCCCAUCGGCUCAACCGUGGAAUCGCUCCCAGUACUGCGUCGCUCGAGGGGGAUAGGGGUCUGCGGAACUACCGGUGGAGCGGUGAAAUGUGUUGAUAUCGGUGGGAACGCCAGUGGCGAAAGCGGCAGACUGGACCCUUCCUGACGCUGAGGCGCGAAAGCUAGGGGAGCAAA